RNAcentral lists this ribosomal RNA (490 nucleotides) under uncultured bacterium. RNAcentral describes it as "partial 16S ribosomal RNA". It matches the Rfam family "Bacterial small subunit ribosomal RNA", at positions 30 to 507 of the family's 1533-position model. The record is from RNAcentral.
AUUGAACGCUGGCGGCAGGCCUAACACAUGCAAGUCGAACGGUAACAGGAAGAAGCUUGCUUCUUUGCUGACGAGUGGCGGACGGGUGAGUAAUGUCUGGGAAACUGCCUGAUGGAGGGGGAUAACUACUGGAAACGGUAGCUAAUACCGCAUAACGUCGCAAGACCAAAGAGGGGGACCUUCGGGCCUCUUGCCAUCGGAUGUGCCCAGAUGGGAUUAGCUUGUUGGUGGGGUAACGGCUCACCAAGGCGACGAUCCCUAGCUGGUCUGAGAGGAUGACCAGCCACACUGGAACUGAGACACGGUCCAGACUCCUACGGGAGGCAGCAGUGGGGAAUAUUGCACAAUGGGCGCAAGCCUGAUGCAGCCAUGCCGCGUGUAUGAAGAAGGCCUUCGGGUUGUAAAGUACUUUCAGCGGGGAGGAAGGGGGUAAAGUUAAUACCUUUGCUCAUUGACGUUACCCGCAGAAGAAGCACCGGCUAACUCCGUG